RNAcentral lists this non-coding RNA (24 nucleotides) under Arabidopsis thaliana (thale cress). Lineage: Eukaryota; Viridiplantae; Streptophyta; Magnoliopsida; Brassicales; Brassicaceae. The record is from RNAcentral.
GACGAGCAGUGAUAUUUGCCUCCU